RNAcentral lists this non-coding RNA (30 nucleotides) under Mus musculus (house mouse). Lineage: Eukaryota; Metazoa; Chordata; Mammalia; Rodentia; Muridae. RNAcentral also lists the same sequence under 1 other name. The record is from RNAcentral.
UUCUGUAGGUGAACCUGCGGAAGGAUCAUU